UCUGCCUGGUAGUGGGGGAUAACGUUCGGAAACGGACGCUAAUACCGCAUACGUCCUACGGGAGAAAGCAGGGGACCUUCGGGCCUUGCGCUAUCAGAUGAGCCUAGGUCGGAUUAGCUAGUUGGUGGGGUAAUGGCUCACCAAGGCGACGAUCCGUAACUGGUCUGAGAGGGUGAUCAGUCACACUGGAACUGAGACACGGUCCAGACUCCUACGGGAGGCAGCAGUGGGGAAUAUUGGACAAUGGGCGAAAGCCUGAUCCAGCCAUGCCGCGUGUGUGAAGAAGGUCUUCGGAUUGUAAAGCACUUUAAGUUGGGAGGAAGGGUUGUAGAUUAAUACUCUGCAAUUUUGACGUUACCGACAGAAUAAGCACCGGCUAACUCUGUGCCAGCAGCCGCGGUAAUACAGAGGGUGCAAGCGUUAAUCGGAAUUACUGGGCGUAAAGCGCGCGUAGGUGGUUUGUUAAGUUGGAUGUGAAAUCCCCGGGCUCAACCUGGGAACUGCAUUCAAAACUGACUGACUAGAGUAUGGUAGAGGGUGGUGGAAUUUCCUGUGUAGCG
This 560-nucleotide ribosomal RNA is filed under the name uncultured bacterium. RNAcentral's name for it is "bacterial SSU rRNA". It matches the Rfam family "Bacterial small subunit ribosomal RNA", at positions 125 to 680 of the family's 1533-position model. The record is from RNAcentral.